Vidua chalybeata is the source of this 569-nucleotide long non-coding RNA. RefSeq lists it as uncharacterized. NCBI's taxonomy places the organism in Eukaryota, Metazoa, Chordata, Aves, Passeriformes, Viduidae. The record is from RefSeq and is a predicted model, not a curated record. The transcript has 4 exons.
UCUGUAGUCUGUAUUGAGUAGCCUGUACCACACUGCCUUUCCUUGCAGCUAUCUCCCAUCCUUCAGAACCACCUUCCUUGCUCUGUCCCUGGACUUUCUGCAGGGCCCAGUCACCCACUGCUUAACUGGCCAGAAAUGGAUAAUAAAAAAGUAUACUAUAGAGAUUACUGAUAAUAGAGAUACUGAUAAUUAAAAGACUGCAGCUAAUUCGCCUGAGAGUCACUAAGAUGGUUGGUACCACAGGCUAUAAACCCUGGUCAGUCACCUGGGAUAGGAACUGAGCUCUUUGCUUAAUCUCUUCUCCACUAUAAAUGAGGGGACAGAAGAGUUCAUGGUGAGAGUUCUGUUUCUCCCUUGAAGUCAAAUCUGUUUUAUACCUUAGCAACUCAGCAGCAGUGGUUGACUCAAGAAUGCACUGAAGGAAUGAAAGUUUCAAGAUGACAGUCAGUGAACAAGACAGCAUAGAGAAGUUGACCUGAAUAUGACUGACAGUUAUUAUUUCCCAGGAAUUCUCUUUGAAACUGAACACAAGUGUUACAGCUGGACCUGCAGUGACCCAUAAAAUUUAA